CCUACGGGGGGCAGCAGUGAGGAAUAUUGGUCAAUGGGCGCGAGCCUGAACCAGCCAAGUAGCGUGAAGGAUGACUGCCCUACGGGUUGUAAACUUCUUUUAUAAAGGAAUAAAGUGAGGCACGUGUGCCUUUUUGUAUGUACUUUAUGAAUAAGGAUCGGCUACCUCCGUGCCAGCAGCCGCGGUAAUACGGAGGAUCCGAGCGUUAACCGGCUUUAUUGGGUUUAAAGGGGGCGAAGAUGGGUUGUUAAGUCAGUUGUGAAAGUUUGCGGCUAAACCGUAAAAUUGCAAUUGAUACUGGCAGCCUUGAGUACAGUUGAGGUAGGCGGAAUGCGUGGUGUAGCGGUGAAAUGCUUAGAUAUCACGCAGAACUCCGAUUGCGAAGGCAGCCUACUAAACUGCCACUGACAUUGAUGCUCGAAAGUGUGGGUAUCAAACAGGAUUAGAUACCCGAGUAGUC
This 460-nucleotide ribosomal RNA is filed under the name uncultured bacterium. RNAcentral describes it as "partial 16S ribosomal RNA". It matches the Rfam family "Bacterial small subunit ribosomal RNA", at positions 338 to 795 of the family's 1533-position model. The record is from RNAcentral.